UCAUUUCAGAGUGGUGCAUGUUGAUGGAU
This 29-nucleotide non-coding RNA is filed under the name Mus musculus (house mouse). The record is from RNAcentral. Lineage: Eukaryota; Metazoa; Chordata; Mammalia; Rodentia; Muridae.